RNAcentral lists this long non-coding RNA (1589 nucleotides) under Hordeum vulgare. RNAcentral describes it as "long non-coding RNA (HVUL_LNC017520)". Lineage: Eukaryota; Viridiplantae; Streptophyta; Magnoliopsida; Poales; Poaceae. The record is from RNAcentral.
CAUAACACAUGCACCAUAUACUGUCAUUUUUAUGAGGACAUUCAGAACAAAAUAUCUCAUGCAUCGAUCCAGGAUAACUAUUUAUUUCUACCAUCAUAUGAGUGACUGACAAUGGCUACAUAUAGCACCACAAAAUGAAUGGACUCUCUUCAUGCUUCAUGGGUUAUUUUAACACAUUUCUCCCAUACACCAACAUCUAGAAAACAACAAUGCAAUCUAGCAAACAAUAAGUUAGAUUGAGAAUAGGAGACAUCAGGCAAUGAAUACCUAGGCUGGCCUAAAUACCCGAUACUCAUUCUGCUCAAGAAGCGUGAACAUUCCCUUGUGCAGCGGGCUCUAAAACCAGGACUACACCAUGCUUAAAAAAGUUCUCGCUCCAUGCGGUCAAUUUCCCUCUAUAGUGAACCCGGAGCACUUGCAUCCAAUUAGACGUUAAUGAAUGGCCAUCAUAAUUUUGGAGGCUGUUACUUUGGGGUGCUCAACGACACGGGCACACGAGAAGAUGGUAAAUAUUGACCCACUGUGUGAUGGUUCCUACUGCUGCCACUUCUUCUUCUUACCACCGAUGAGACGCGAAAGCAAGUCAUUGUCGCAACUGGCAUGUUGUAUGGCCAAUUGAUCCAUACUCCACUGAGUUCCCUGGUCGAGACACGGAGUGGGCGACAUUGCCGUAGCAGUAUAGCCGGGCAACCAAAUCAAAUAAGCUGGCUUAUCCCUGGACCAUGGUUAUCGACCUGUCUUUUAGUUUCAUCUUCAAAUUAAAUUUGUUGUUGUGAGUAUAUAAUUAAUUGUCCAUGGCCUCUAUCACCGUUGGCCCAUGUGAUGCUUUCUCCUACGAGAAUGCUUCGGCACCAGCUAGUACAAUCAUGCGUGCUAGUGACGGAUCAGUUAAAUUUAUAGCCCAUCACUUCAUCUUCCACGGGGACGAUGCCCUCAAAGGAGAUAUCCAUGCUUUAAUGCAAGGUAUAGCCCUUGACAUCCAACAUACUGCUCUCCCGCGUGUUUGUAACAACAUUCCACAUUUUUUCUGUCACAGAAAAAAUAGUUUAUUUACCAUUUUGUUCGAAUUUACUCCAGUAAAAUUGGAUCAACAUAGGCAUGUUUAGAAUACAUUGAACAUUUAAUUCUUUUAAAGAACAGUUAAGUGUACGUCAAACGUGGAAGCUAAGUAUUGCUUUUAAAUCUCAAUGCAGUUUCCAGAUAUUGUUUAAAACUUCGAACUUCAAAGGGCAUGCGGCUCUCUUUUCUUUCAGUUAUUAUAACUUUGCAGUGACGGUGUUGACUUUUGCCUGCCAAUUGUAGCGAUGAACUCCAAUGCUACUUUAAGUGUAUUAAUUGAUGCCAGGUUCAUCGGGCUUGUUCAUGACCACGCGGCCUCCCCUCCAACCAGAUCAAAUAGUCCACGGAAUACAAUGACAGGUACGCCAGGUGACGUUGUUGUCUGCUGAAAUAUAACUUUCUGUUUAUUCGUGAUAUCUUAAAAUUUGCGAGUGAACUGACAUGUUGGAGUGCAAAUACUGGCAGAUAUUUAAGUGAAAACUGUAAGAGAAAAGCUAUGGAACCUACCAUCACCACUCAUGCACUCCCCU